RNAcentral lists this ribosomal RNA (118 nucleotides) under Pteropus alecto (black flying fox). The record is from RNAcentral. Lineage: Eukaryota; Metazoa; Chordata; Mammalia; Chiroptera; Pteropodidae.
GUCUAUGGCCACGUCACCCUGAGCGUAUCAAUCCCAUCUGAUCUCGGAAGCUCAGCAGGGAAGGGCCUGGUUAGUACUUGGAUGGGAGACCACCUACGAAUAUCAGGUACUGUAGGCA